AAACACGAGUAAAAAGUGUUAAAAAAACCCCUACAAAACAUGGCGGAUAUGCGCGAUUGACGCUGAGAGGUGAAGAUCUCCCACAUAAUGACUCCAAAGCUCCAUACAUCACUCUCUGUGGAGAACUUCCUGUACAUGAUGCUCUCCGGAGGCAUCCAGCGAAUGGGCAGCAUGGUGUGACCUCCCACCUAGAAGACAGAUUAGACAUCAAGCAUUUCUCACGAACAUCUUGCGUGCGCUAGUCAGGUGAGGAUGUGAAAUGAUGGGGUGAACAGGAAGUUUCUGGAAGUUACUAAUGUGGAAACAGCUCAACCUGGUCAACUCAAGAAGGUAAUCAACCCAAAGAGGUCUUUAAUUUGAGUUAUUUUGCAACAAGACAUAAUAAUGUGUCUUGUCAUAACAAUGACUUGUGAAAUUUUGUACUUUAUCUGGGUGUGUCCAUGAACAAAAAGAUAACAGAUGGGUUAUACAUACUGUAUUAAAAACAUAUAAAGAAUUAAAGCUGCAAGCAGCGAUGAAAGGGCCCUCGCACCCAUGCCACCGCCACCUGGUGGCUUUAGGAAAACAGAGCAUGGUGGGCAAUAUGCAUUUAGGUAUAUAAAUAUAGGAGGACAAGGUCAGUCAUUUGUAUUUGCCACACUUCCUGCUACCAGCUGGUGAUGAUAUGACUAUAACUAAAUUUGUUUCAUGGCGAAACAUCAAAAUUCAAAAUCAAAAUCAAUUUUGCUUUCAGCAAAAACUCUUGAUCUUCGCAAUUUAACGUCGCAAAGGCCUUAGAUUAGACUGACCAAAUAUGAUGUUGAUUUGAUUAAAUCUCUAGGAGGAGAUUGUUAAAGUACAACA
Long non-coding RNA from Megalobrama amblycephala (Wuchang bream), 843 nucleotides. RefSeq lists it as uncharacterized. Lineage: Eukaryota; Metazoa; Chordata; Actinopteri; Cypriniformes; Xenocyprididae. The record is from RefSeq and is a predicted model, not a curated record. The transcript has 3 exons.